Molecule: ribosomal RNA, 374 nt
Filed under: uncultured bacterium
Lineage: Bacteria
Description: bacterial SSU rRNA
Rfam family: Bacterial small subunit ribosomal RNA
Source: RNAcentral
GAUGAACGCUAGCGGGAGGCCUAAUACAUGCAAGUCGAGCGGUAGAGUGACUUCGGUUGCUUGAGAGCGGCGCACGGGUGAGUAACGCGUACAUGACCUACCUUUAAGACUGGGAUAGCCCUGGGAAACUGGGAUUAAUACCGGAUGUGAUAAUACGUAUAGAGAUGUAUUAUUAAAGUUGAGGCGCUUAGAGAUGGAUGUGCGUCUGAUUAGCUAGUUGGUAGGUAACGGCCUACCAAGGCGACGAUCAGUAGGGGGCGUGAGAGCGUGGCCCCCCANACGGGUACUGAGACACGGACCCGACUCCUACGGGAGGCAGCAGUAAGGAUAUUGGUCAAUGGACGGAAGUCUGAACCAGCCAUCCCGCGUGCAGG